GGACCAAUUAGAGAUCACAGGGUACUUCGAUUCUGAUUUUGCUGGGUAUCAAGAUAGUAGAAGAUCCACAUCAGGCUAUAUCUCUCUGUUGGCUGGAGGAGCUAUUUCUUGGAAGAGUGUUAAGCAAACACUCAUAACUUCUUCUACCAUGGCAGCAGAGUUUGUAGCAUGCUAUGAGGCAUCUAACCAUGAAAUAUAGCUGUGAAAUUUUGUCAUUGGGCUGUGCAUUCUGAAUGGAAUAGAAAGACUACUAAAGUUAGAUUGUGAUAAUAACUCGCCAGUUCUAUAUUCUAACAACAACAGGAGCUCGUCUAAGUCAAAAUACAUUGACAUUAAAUUCCUGAUUGUGAAGAAAAGAGUACGGAGUGGACAGAUUCUAUAGAGCACAUUGGAACAAACUCUAUGAUUGCGGAUCCGCUCACUAAAGGAUUACCACCCAAGGUCUUUCAUGAGCACAUUGCUCGCAUGGGUGUUGUAUUUCUUGAGAAAAUCAUGUUUUAGUGAGAGUUUGUAUUCUCAUUGUUUUAUAUUUAUUUUGGACACAUUUGUGUGUUUGGAUAUUUUUCUGUACAGAAAUAAAGCAUUCGGUUCAUUCCACUCUGUUAUUAUGUUCAGUAUUGAUCGCACUUAAGAAAUAAGGUUGGACCAAUUGGAAAUAGACAUGUUUGGAUCACAUAACAUGUAAUUUUCA
Molecule: long non-coding RNA, 691 nt
Filed under: Olea europaea subsp. europaea
Lineage: Eukaryota; Viridiplantae; Streptophyta; Magnoliopsida; Lamiales; Oleaceae
Source: RNAcentral